UAGGGAAUCUUCCACAAUGGACGCAAGUCUGAUGGAGCAACGCCGCGUGAGUGAAGAAGGUUCUCGGACCGUAAAGCUCUGUUGUUGGUGAAGAAGGAUAGAGGUAGUAACUGGCCUUUAUUUGACGGUAAUCAACCAGAAAGUCACGGCUAACUACGUGCCAGCAGCCGCGGUAAUACGUAGGUGGCAAGCGUUGUCCGGAUUUAUUGGGCGUAAAGCGAGCGCAGGCGGAAGAAUAAGUCUGAUGUGAAAGCCCUCGGCUUAACCGAGGAAUUGCAUCGGAAACUGUUUUUCUUGAGUGCAGAAGAGGAGAGUAGAACUCCAUGUGUAGCGGUGGAAUGCGUAGAUAUAUGGAAGAAUACCAGUGGCGAAGGCGGCUCUCUGGUCUGCAACUGACGCUGAGGCUCGAAAGCAUGGGUAGCGAACAGGAUUAGAUACCCUGGUAGUCCAUGCCGUAAACGAUGAGUGCUAAGUGUUGGGAGGCUUCCGCCUCUCAGUGCUGCAGCUAACGCAUUAAGCACUCCGCCUGGGGGAGUACGACCGCAAGGUUGAAAC
Molecule: ribosomal RNA, 555 nt
Filed under: uncultured bacterium
Lineage: Bacteria
Description: partial 16S ribosomal RNA
Rfam family: Bacterial small subunit ribosomal RNA
Source: RNAcentral